GACGAACGCUGGCGGCGUGCUUAACACAUGCAAGUCGAACGGAAAGGCCCCUUUGGGGGUACUCGAGUGGCGAACGGGUGAGUAACACGUGAGUAACCUGCCCUUGACUUCGGGAUAACUUCAGGAAGCUGGGGCUAAUACCGGAUAGGAAUCCUUGCUGCAUGGUGGGGGUUGGAAAGCUUCGGCGGUUUUGGAUGGACUCGCGGCUUAUCAGCUUGUUGGUGGGGUAGUGGCUUACCAAGGCUUUGACGGGUAGCCGGCCUGAUAGGGCGACCGGCCACAUUGGGACUGAGAUACGGCCCAGACUCCUACGGGAGGCAGCAGUGGGGAAUAUUGCACAAUGGGCGGAAGCCUGAUGCAGCAACGCCGCGUGCGGGAUGACGGCCUUCGGGUUGUAAACCGCUUUCAGCAGGGGCGAAGCUUGUGGUGACGGUACCUGCAGAAGAAGCACCGGCUAACUACGUG
This 465-nucleotide ribosomal RNA is filed under the name uncultured bacterium. RNAcentral's name for it is "partial 16S ribosomal RNA". It matches the Rfam family "Bacterial small subunit ribosomal RNA", at positions 28 to 507 of the family's 1533-position model. The record is from RNAcentral.